Molecule: non-coding RNA, 32 nt
Filed under: Rattus norvegicus (Norway rat)
Lineage: Eukaryota; Metazoa; Chordata; Mammalia; Rodentia; Muridae
Source: RNAcentral
UGAGUGUCAGGCACCAUUGCUUCUUUAGAAGU